GAGCGCCGGCAGUUUCAGAAUUCACUUCACCACUCUUUCUCUUUGCACCGGUGGGCGUAGGUGUGUUAAGGCUUAUCCACUUUUGCUCGUGCCGCAGGACACACCACGUGUGUUCGAGGGUAAACUUGUGACCCUGAUCAGCGUAGAAGAUUUGAUGAGCCACCUUUAGUAAGUCAUUGUCACUCUGACCGCUGGUUAUUUGUCUCUCUGCAGCAGAGAAUGCGGCACAGAACUUGUUCGUUUGAUCAUUGAUUCUGUGCCACCUCUGCUUACAGUGAACAUUCUCUAUCUUCUCAUGAAGAGUUUCCGCAACGAACUCAUCAACGCGUUUUCAGAAGGUCUUUAACUUCAUAGAAUUUCCGACAACAUCGUCCUUUGAUGUGUUAAGCCACGCACUAAUCACCACCUCGUCAUCACGCGGCGUCCAUUUCCUUCUCACCAAACGCUCCACAAUAAGCUACAUUUUCAUACAUAUUAAACAAGACAGAGUUCGGCCAAGAGCUUGUUCACAACGGUUUAAGACAGGUACUUAAUUAGAAAAACUAGAAGAGUUCGGCCAAGAGCUUGUUCAUUACGGUUUCUUGACUCUCACUUAGUGGACUGGUCUUAGCAAGGAGAGUGUCUAAUAUCGCCAUCUUAGACAGCUUCUCCUUCCUAGCCAAAUCUUCACACUUGAGCUCGUAAAUGCUCUUAUAGUCCUCAAUAGCCUUCCCUUUACUACUAUUCCUGCUUGCUUUCGCAGCUUUGAUACCUUCAGGACGCACUGGUGCUUGUGGACUCUCCUCACCUACAUGAGCGCCGGCAGUUUCAGAAUUCACUUCACCACUCUUUCUCUUUGCACCGGUGGGCGUAGGUGUGUUAAGGCUUAUCCACUUUUGCUCGUGCCGCAGGACACACCACGUGUGUUCGAGGGUAAACUUGUGACCCUGAUCAGCGUAGAAGAUUUGAUGAGCCACCUUUAGUAAGUCAUUGUCACUCUGACCGCUGGUUAUUUGUCUCUCUGCAGCAGAGAAUGCGGCACAGAACUUGUUCGUUUGAUCAUUGAUUCUGUGCCACCUCUGCUU
Molecule: long non-coding RNA, 1064 nt
Filed under: Brassica napus (rape)
Lineage: Eukaryota; Viridiplantae; Streptophyta; Magnoliopsida; Brassicales; Brassicaceae
Description: long non-coding RNA (BNAP_LNC019165)
Source: RNAcentral